Molecule: ribosomal RNA, 513 nt
Filed under: uncultured bacterium
Lineage: Bacteria
Description: bacterial SSU rRNA
Rfam family: Bacterial small subunit ribosomal RNA
Source: RNAcentral
GACGAACGCUGGCGGCGUGCUUAAUACAUGCAAGUCGAGCGAGGUUACUGUUUCGGAUCCCUUCGGGGUGAAGAAGCUUUAACCUAGCGGCGGACGGGUGAGUAACGCGUGGGUAACCUACCCCAAAGUCCGGGAUAACAGCGGGAAACCGCUGCUAAUACCGGAUGCCUUUACCUUGGGGCAUCUUGAGGUAAAGAAAGGCAACGCUUUGGGAUGGGCCCGCGUCCCAUUAGCUAGUUGGUGAGGUAACGGCUCACCAAGGCGACGAUGGGUAGCCGGCCUGAGAGGGUGGACGGCCACACUGGGACUGAGACACGGCCCAGACUCCUACGGGAGGCAGCAGUAGGGAAUAUUGCGCAAUGGACGGAAGUCUGACGCAGCGACGCCGCGUGAGCGAUGAAGGUCUUCGGAUCGUAAAGCUCUGUCCUUGGGGAAGAAGGCGAAAGCUUGACGGUACCCAAGAAGAAAGCCCCGGCUAACUACGUGCCAGCAGCCGCGGUAAGAGUACUCUAU